RNAcentral lists this unclassified non-coding RNA (253 nucleotides) under uncultured Kofleriaceae bacterium. Its description in RNAcentral is "contains 16S-23S intergenic spacer region". It matches the Rfam family "Bacterial small subunit ribosomal RNA", at positions 524 to 776 of the family's 1533-position model. Lineage: Bacteria; Pseudomonadati; Myxococcota; Haliangiales; Kofleriaceae. The record is from RNAcentral.
UACGGAGGGUGCAAACGUUGCUCGGAAUCAUUGGGCGUAAAGUGCACGUAGGCGGUGCGGCAAGUCGGAUGUGAAAGCCCUCGGCUUAACCGAGGAAGUGCAUUCGAAACUACCGGACUUGAAUACUGGAGAGGAUCGCGGAAUUCCCGGUGUAGAGGUGAAAUUCGUAGAUAUCGGGAGGAACACCAGUGGCGAAGGCGGCGAUCUGGACAGAUAUUGACGCUGAGGUGCGAAAGCGUGGGGAGCAAACAGG